CCCAUCACUCUCCCUCUCUCUCUCAAUUUAUUCCUCCAUUACCACCAUUAAAGUGAGCUUCAAGCUCCACAAAAUCAUUUCAAGAGAGAAAUCCUUCUCUAUCCUUAAGCUAAACACCUUCUAGCUUCAUGAAUUCAAGAAACCCUUGAGUAUUAGUCUUGAGUUAGAGAGAGAAAGCUUAGUUCUUUGUUUGAUCUUGGGUAAGUGGCUUUGAUAUUCUUGAAAUUAGUGGUCUAUGAUGUUGUAUAUGAGUUUAUUUGGAUGAUUGAAGCAAAAAAAACACCCCCUCACCCCUUUUAUAAAUUUUCGAAAAUUUAGGGUUAAACCCUUCAAAAAAAAAUUUCUUUUCUUUCCUUUAAUUGGGGUGAGAAAUGUGUUUUAUGUGAUGUUUGGUGAUGAUUGAUAUGUGUAUUGUGAGGCUAUGUCUUGUGAUGCAAAGUUUGACUUAGGUUAGUAGCCUAAAAAUUUGGAAAUUUUUGAGUUGAGGUCUUAAAUGAUAAAUUGAUGAUGAGCAUGAGGUUAUGAUGUGUAUUUGAUGAUGAUUGAUGGUCUAUAUUGAGGAUAUGAUGUAAUUUGAGGAUGUUGAUGUGAGUUAGUGUGAUGAAAAUUAGGGUUAUGUAUUUCUAUGCCCAAAUUUGUAAAUUGACGGUUCACAUAAGUAAUUAAGUGACCUAAUUUGAUCAAUCUAUGGAUGGAUUGAUGAUUGACACGCAUGUGUAAAAAGUCAAAGAGUUUAGUCUAAUGAAAAAUUAGGAUCUUGAUGUAUAUGUGUUAACUAUGUGAAUUGACUAAGGAUAGAUGGAAUUGAGCAUGAUAUUAUAGUUUAAUGAUGUUUGGUUUGGUCAAGCAUUGACUAUAUAAAAUUUUGAUUGAAUUUAGUUUGCAUAAUAAGGGAGAGUCUAUGCAAAUGUAUUGAGUUAUGUGAUGCAUGAGGCCAUUUGUAAGUAAUUGAGUAUCUUUAGGCAUGUUUGCUUGUGUGUUGAGGUCGAAGUCGUUUUUGAGGAACCGUCUAAUGUCGCUGACCUACUGAGUUCGAAAGGUUGUGGAUACCCAAAGACCUUGAACAUUUUAUAGUAAGAUUAUAUGAGAUUCUUGCGUAUACUGGUAACAUUUCAAGUCAAUUGGACUUCGUUUACUAUUUUUAUAAAAUGGAAAACUAAAACUGCUACUUUCUGCCGAAAUGUUCGGUGAGUAGCCAAUAGAGUCACCUUUUCCAGUAUCUUUCCCUAACUUUUUGGAGCCCAACUUUUUAUCAUUAAUACAUGAGUGUUUUUUCUAAGUACUUAACAAAUUUCAAGCCUUUUCGGCAACGUUUACUAUUUUUCAAAAAUCAAAGGUUUCAGUUGCUCAAAACUGCCGAAUAUGGUAGACUGUAGGAAAACAGUCAUAUCUCCUAAACUACUUAGAGUUUUUCAUCCUACUUUUUUUUGAAUGAAACUAGACUAAAAGAGGUUUCAAAUGGUAUAGUUCACUACUCCAGUGGAGUUCUGUACCGAGUUUGGUGAAGUCUUUAAAUCGAGUCAGUGCAGAAUGAUGUUUGUUUGUGACAUGUCUAUGUGGGAAUUUAUAUGCUUAUGUGAUUAUGCUUGUUUAUGUGCUUGAUUGCUAUGAGUUUAAUCCGAGUUGAGUGUUAAGUCAAGAGUAGGACUUGUGAAUCCUUAGGAGUUAAGUAUACCUAGGGAUUGAGAUUUAUUUGGGUAAAUAGAAGAUGAGUGAUAAGUUAUAGUUUGAGACGAGAUUGGAUGUUAGUAAAUGAGUUUCUAACUGAGGUUUAUUUUAUCACAUGAACCUUCGAUGACGAUGAUGAUGAUAUAUGAAGGCCCGAGCGAGACGAAGAAGUGAGUCGCCUGUUUUCUUUUCAAGCUUGAGCGAAGGACUUCAGGUGGGCAAUAUUUUGAGUAUUCUUAUAUCAUAUAAGCUUUCUAAUAUGAUUUGAUGAUGUUAUGAGUUUAUCAAAUGUUUUGAGAUAAAUGAUGUUUGAGAACUGUUUGACUUGCCAAUUUUUGAUGUUGAGCCUGUAUGUUACCCUCUACUGAUGAGAUGAGACGAAUUCGGUCCUGCCACAAGCGGGAUUUUGUGCACAGAGGUGACUGCGAGCCGUCUUCGGGUCGGCCGGUCACGGUACUUGAGAGAGAGGCCUACUUCUCAGUACCUUUGAUGAUGAUGAGUUGUAGAUGUGGUGCAUACAUCUUGAGAUCUUUGACUGCAGUCGUUUUUUUAUGAUGUCAUGAUUAUUAAAACUGCUUACACAGGUUCAUUUACGCUAAAUUUAUUCCUGUGUAUUGCUGAGAUGUGGCAAGUUUCAAAUUUAUAGCUCUAAGAGCAGCUUUUCUUGUUUUUCGGCGUUUGCCCACUGAGUAUUAUAUACUCACGCCCUGCAUGUAUUUCUAAAUGUGCAGGCUAAGCGAUGGAGCGAGAUUGGACUGGUGCUGGCGGGGGAUUAUUUUGUUGAUGAAUUUUCUUUGUUGCUUUCCUUUUCUUGAUAGAGUCCUAACGAUGAUACACUUUGCUUUCCUUUUGAAUGUUGAUAAAACCUUAAUGAUGAGAUACAUUGUUUUCUUUUUAAUCAAGCAAUUUACUCGCGAUUAUAUGUCUUCAUACAUAUUCUCCUCGGUUCCUUCUUUUUUUGGACUUAGGGUCGUGGGAUUGUUUAUGGCGACGGAGUUUAGCCGGCCAUACUCCUCACGGUUCGAUGGUAGAGCAUUGGGCGACGGCGUAUCACCGGCCUUUUGCUCUUUCUGUGUGUUUCUUUCGGUGGUCAGUUGGCGACGGCGUCUCACCGGCCUUCUGGCUACGUCUUGUGUUUUGCUUUUGUUUCUUUUUCCUGAGCCGGGAUGGUUUAGGGACGAUGGUAAGGCCGGAGUUCCUGAAACUUUCUCUUUCGCUCUUCUUUUUUUUCUUACUCUUUUUCCCUCUUACGGUUUUUCCCAUAGGGUUUUCUGUAGGAGGGUUUUAAUGAGGCCCGGCCCUUAGUUUGCGUCUCUGUGCUCUCAAGGGUUUAGCUUUCUCAUUCUCGUUUUUCCCUUUUUUUUAGUUCCUUUAUAAAAUUGCAUUUUAAUAAUAUAUCUUCAUACAUAUGAUCGAUUCACC
Molecule: long non-coding RNA, 3090 nt
Filed under: Salvia miltiorrhiza (redroot sage)
Lineage: Eukaryota; Viridiplantae; Streptophyta; Magnoliopsida; Lamiales; Lamiaceae
Description: long non-coding RNA (SMIL_LNC008777)
Source: RNAcentral